CAUAUAUACUUAUAUAAGUAACACACUAUUCUUAAUUCUCUAUCUCUUUUUGUUUCUAACCUCCAAUCAAUACAGCAAAAGGUGGCUCGAUGAAUACACAACAUCCAGUGACUGCAACAAGUGAAGCAAGUAUAGCAUUAGCUAUCUCAUUAGUGUUGUAGUUCUCAUCUCUUUUAUAUAACUGGACCAAUCCUGAGAUUACGACUUGAGUCAGUCCGCCUGAAGCAGCUGCUAGGCUCAUUGUCAGUGCCGUCCCUCCAACAGCUGCAUGAUUGGCCUUACCAGCUAUGGACUCAGUUGAACCACAGUUGAAUGCAAACCUAAUAGUAGUACUUGUUGUUCAGCCUGUGCUGAUUAUUACAGGCAAGUGUUAACAUUUGUAACAGGUGGUGCAUCAGUAGUAGCUUUCAUUGGAUUAGCUCUCAUAGUUCUAAUGACAAUAAUGAAGAAACAACUUAAAGCGUCUCCUCCGUUAAUAAAUCCUCCCACUCCUUCCAUUACGCCUCCUCCUUAUCAGCUACCUAAA
Long non-coding RNA from Amphimedon queenslandica, 526 nucleotides. RefSeq lists it as uncharacterized. The transcript is spliced from 3 exons. The record is from RefSeq and is a predicted model, not a curated record. Lineage: Eukaryota; Metazoa; Porifera; Demospongiae; Haplosclerida; Niphatidae.